GCAAGUUUGGUCUGUUUAGCGAUAGCUGCAGUUCCUUCGCGUUUAUAUUUUUUUUCUUUUACUCCUUCCGGGGUUGACGAAAUAAUAUAUUGAACCUUGGACCGCUUAUCACGCUUUUAACAAGUGCAGAGAAUACGCUCAAAUUAUAAUUUAAAUGUAGAUGGAGGAUCAGCCAAACUUGACGAUGGUCAAGUUGCAAAAAGCAACUUUAAAUACAAGCUUUUAUUUUGUUGUUGUGGGGAGUAAUCUGUUCCCUUAUUGACUAUGCAAUCAAAGCCAUCUCAAGUUCUCACGCUAUCGCUACAGCGCUAAUCAAAGAAACUCAAAUCUCAACACCGCAGCGGAAAGAGAAAAAGACGAGGCGCGUUCUCGCAGCAAAGCUGGUGCCACGGCACCCCGACAUGUUUACCGGCGGCUGCCGGCUACUCGGCGCCGUGGUGCAGUUUCUACAGCUAAAUUUCACGUAAAAUGCAGACCCGCGUAAGGGGUGCGCUGCUUAUGUUGGUAAACAACGACACAAUCGCUGUGAUUGCCUUCAUUCUGGCAACAGUAUUAAUCGUCCUGAGAAGAUCCCUUCGCAAGAUGGUGAUCUUGUGCAUCAUCUUCCCAAGUAUGCCGAUGCUGACUCUGGUUGCCAUCAACAGUCUUCGUCCUGGGGCCGAAUUGCUGACGAGUUUGAUGGUGAUUUCAACCAUCAGCUACUUCCGACGCAAACUGUUCUACAACUAGAAGAAAGCCGCAUAAAAAUGCCGACGUUUAUUUACUAUUUACAAGACAUGCAGUUAGAAGAAAAAAAAUACUGCACAAACAAUACAUAUUGUCAAAAUUAACAGAAAUGAACACUUAUGCUACUUAAAAGAUCUCAACGUGGUUCAUUGUCUUUUUGUACAGGUUACACAAACAAAAACAA
This is a long non-coding RNA of Dermacentor andersoni, 910 nucleotides long. RefSeq lists it as uncharacterized. Lineage: Eukaryota; Metazoa; Arthropoda; Arachnida; Ixodida; Ixodidae. The record is from RefSeq and is a predicted model, not a curated record.